UGUUGAGCUAAACGGCGGAGUCAGGA
RNAcentral lists this non-coding RNA (26 nucleotides) under Mus musculus (house mouse). The record is from RNAcentral. Lineage: Eukaryota; Metazoa; Chordata; Mammalia; Rodentia; Muridae.